RNAcentral lists this ribosomal RNA (460 nucleotides) under uncultured bacterium. RNAcentral describes it as "partial 16S ribosomal RNA". It matches the Rfam family "Bacterial small subunit ribosomal RNA", at positions 338 to 795 of the family's 1533-position model. The record is from RNAcentral.
CCUACGGGAGGCAGCAGUGAGGAAUAUUGGUCAAUGGGCGUAAGCCUGAACCAGCCAAGUCGCGUGAGGGAUGAAGGUUCUAUGGAUCGUAAACCUCUUUUAUAAGGGAAUAAAGUGCGGGACGUGUCCCGUUUUGUAUGUACCUUAUGAAUAAGGAUCGGCUAACUCCGUGCCAGCAGCCGCGGUAAUACGGAGGAUCCGAGCUUUAUCCGGAUUUAGUGGGUUUAAAGGGUGCGUAGGCGGCCUUUUAAGUCAGCGGUGAAAGGCUGUGGCUCAACCAUAGAAUUGCCGUUGAAACUGGGAGGCUUGAGUAUGUUUGAGGCAGGCGGAAUGCGUGGUGUAGCGGUGAAAGGCUUAGAUAUCACGCAGAACCCCGAUUGCGAAGGCAGCCUGCCAAGCCAUGACUGACGCUGAUGCACGAAAGCGUGGGGAUCAAACAGGAUUAGAUACCCUUGUAGUC